This 260-nucleotide ribosomal RNA is filed under the name uncultured soil bacterium. Its description in RNAcentral is "partial 16S ribosomal RNA". It matches the Rfam family "Bacterial small subunit ribosomal RNA", at positions 26 to 274 of the family's 1533-position model. The record is from RNAcentral.
AGAACGAACGCUGGCGGCGGGGUUUAGGCAUGCAAGUCGCGCGAGAAAGGGGCAACCCGAGUACAGCGGCGUAAGGGUGAGUAACAGAUAGUCAACGUACCUAUGAGACACGGAUAAUUUCCCGAAAGGGAUUGUAAUACGGGAUGAAGUCAUUGCUGGUACGCCGGCGAUGAUCAAAGGCUGGGGAUCCUUCGGGACCUGGCGCUCAUGGAGCGGACGAUCUCCGAUUAGCUAGUUGGCGGGUAAAAGCCCACCAAGGC